Centruroides sculpturatus (bark scorpion) is the source of this 201-nucleotide long non-coding RNA. RefSeq lists it as uncharacterized. The transcript has 2 exons. The record is from RefSeq and is a predicted model, not a curated record. Lineage: Eukaryota; Metazoa; Arthropoda; Arachnida; Scorpiones; Buthidae.
GCCAAUUUGGCACUGCUUUUGGGCUACUUUCUGUUCGGAAUCAGUGGAAGAGCGUGGCGAGUAUCUGGCAGUCUUGGUUCUUUUGCUGGAGUUCUCAACGAUAUAAUAAAUGGUGGAAGGUCGUGCAACAUUCGGAGCGGAGGGGAAUAUGUCUACGACACGCAAAGAAGCAAUUCCUUCUGUCCAAGUAUUCGGCAGAAA